CAGGGGCACUGAGGACCCCCCCGAGGCGCCCUCCACGCAAUUGGCACUGUGGUAUACUCCGCCGCCACCACCGUCACCGCCGUUUCCCUCCCUUCUUCAGGACGUGGGUGGAGGAGGUGGUGGGUUCCCGCGUGACAAAGACUAAGAAACAGGCGAAGAAGAAGAACAACCCGAGGCGAAAAUACAGUGAACGAAAGAACAGUGAACGUAGAAUAGUGAUAGUAAGGAUAAAAUUAAUGAACGAAAGAGUUGAGUAAAGAGAACAGUGAACGGCAAACAGUGACGGAAUAAGAACAACAUUGAUAAAAAAAAAGUAUUAGUCCGAGAACAGUGAACGUUAAGCAGUGAACGAAAGAGAGCGGACGUACUGAGUCUAAGAACAGUGAACGAUAAGCAGUGAACGAAAGAGAGUGAACGUAGUGAGUUUAAGAACAGUGAACGAUAAACAGUGACAGUGUAGGAAGAACACUGACCAAAAACAGUGAAAAAAACAUAAGACUAACGACGAACGAAAUAAAACAAAAGAAAAACUGAGAGAAACGGAGAAAUAGAGAGUGGAAGCAAUUUACAGACUUCGGAAAACAACAAAAAAUCGAAAACGCAGAGUAAGUAGUGAUAGAAGAAAACUAAUAAAAGUGGAAUAGAAAAGAGAAGAGAGAAAGAAACGUCUGAAAUAUUACCCCAUGAUUUGACGGCUCGGUAAAAAAAAAAAGAGGAAAAAUUGAAGAAAAUCGUGGAGAAAAGUUGAGAGGAGAAACGCGACGUAGAAUAACAGUAAAAAGGGGAAAUAAAAGGAAUAGUUGAAGAAAUAUUGAGUAAAACAGAAGAGAGGGAGAGAAACGGACGAAAUAUUACGCAUGAUUUAACAGUACAGCAAAAGAGAGAAAGAAAAAAAUCAAGGAAAUCGGAAAGAAAACACGAAAGGAGAAACGCAACGAAUAAAAUAACAGUAAAGAGAGGAGAUAAAAGACAUUGUUAAAGGAAGAGUAAAGGAAAAGAGAGAGAGAAACGGAAAAGAUAGAAGGAAAAAGUGAAGGAAAGCGGGGAGAAAAGUAAAAAGAGAAACUUGUGCGUUAAAUAACAAUAAAAAUAGGAGAUAAAAGGAAUAGCUGAAGGAACAGAGAACAAAACAGAGGAGAGAGAGAAACGGACGAAGUAUUACUGCAUGACUUGACAAUGCAGUAAAAGAGAGAGAGAGAGAGGAAAAGAAGUGAAGGAAACGAGAAAGAAAAGUUAAACAGAGAAACGGCGCUUAAAACAACAGUAAAAAGAGGAGAUAAAAAGAACAGACAAAGGUAGAGAGAGUAAAAUAGAAGAGAAAAACGAAAAAGAGAAAAAGUAAAGAAAAAAAGAAAAGCCAAACAGAGAAACAGCGCUUAAAACAACAAUAAAAAGAGGAAAUAAAAAGAACAGACAAAGGAACAGAGAGUAAAACGGAAAAGAGAGAAAAGCGAAAAAGAGAAAAAGUGAAGGAAAUCGGAAAGGAAAGUUAGGAGCGAGAACGUGACGCAUAAGAUUACCGUAAAAACAGGAGAUAAAAAGAAUAGAUAAAGGUAGAGAGAGUAACAUAGAAGAGAGAGAAAAACGAAAAGGAAAAGAAAAGCCAAACAGCGAAAAAGAGAAAAAGUGAAGGAAAGCGAAAAGGAUAGUUAAGAGCAAGAACGUGACGCAUAAGAUUACCGUAAAAGGGAAAAUAAAGGAACAUCUGAGUCUGGGCUAAGGAAACAGAGCCGCGUGGAGACUUCUGAGCGACUGCAAAUUUAAGAAGCCGAACCCAGUCAAGCGAGAGAGAGAGAGAAGGAGAAAGGAAAGAGAACGACAGAAUAAGAGAGAGAAGAGAAUGAAAAUGUAAAUGCAAAGGAGAGAAGGAUAAAAUUUUGAAUAGAAUUAAAGAAAAAGUAGAAAAAGAAGAAUAGAAAACAGAAAGAAAGAAUGCGCUGACGAAAGAGACACUAGGAAAUAUAGAUAGAUAAAGAAGACUAGAAAGAGAAAAUGCAAUAAAAGUUAAUAAAAGUGAAUAGAGAGAAAAAGAAGAUUGGAAGAUUUAAUAGAAAACAUGAGAGGUAAAUAAAAACUAAAGAAUUAAUGAAAAGAGAGAAAUAUAGAGGGUAGAGAGAGUAAAAGAUAAUAAAGGAAGAUAAAUAUAAAAUAGAGGGAAAGAAUAAGAAAACAAUACAGAGGCAGCGAGUAGAAAAGAGAAGAGACGAAACUAAAAUAUAUAGAUGAAAUAAUAUAACAAGGAAGAAAAUCAGAAACGAGUCAGAAAGGAACUCAAAACCUGAAACUGCCUAUUCACGAAACGAAACAAGAAACAAAUCAAACUACGGAAAAAGGAAUAGACGUGAGAGUCGGUAAAGAAGGAAAAGAAGGGAUCAAAGAGCAGGAGAAGUGAUGAAAGAGGAAAAACGAAAAUAUUGAUAAAAACUUCUCGAACACAGAUAAAAUUGAAAAUCUCACCAACGAAACGCAGUAAAAAAAUAAAUAAUAAUGAGAUAAAUGAACGCGUAUCAGUAAGCAGACACUAAGAAGAAAAACAGUAAAAAUAACAAGAAAAGAAGGAAAAGAAGAAAAUUUUGUUAGUAGUACAAAUCAGAGAAGAAAGAAAAUUUGUGAACCUAACUAGCUAAAAGAAGAAGAAGAAGAAGAAGAAGGAGAAGAAGAUAUAAGACUGCUAAUAAAAUAAAUCGGAGAGGAAAGAAUUUUUAACAACCAAAUCCAGCUAGAAGAAGAAGAAGAAGAAGAAGAAAUAAAAAAAUAA
Molecule: long non-coding RNA, 2758 nt
Organism: Eriocheir sinensis (Chinese mitten crab)
Lineage: Eukaryota; Metazoa; Arthropoda; Malacostraca; Decapoda; Varunidae
Exons: 2
Source: RefSeq, a predicted model, not a curated record